RNAcentral lists this ribosomal RNA (1458 nucleotides) under Lactococcus lactis subsp. lactis. RNAcentral describes it as "bacterial SSU rRNA". It matches the Rfam family "Bacterial small subunit ribosomal RNA". Lineage: Bacteria; Bacillati; Bacillota; Bacilli; Lactobacillales; Streptococcaceae. The record is from RNAcentral.
GCGCGGUGCGGGUGCUAUAAUGCAAGUUGAGCGCUGAGGUUGGUACUUGUACCAACUGGAUGAGCAGCGAACGGGUGAGUAACGCGUGGGGAAUCUGCCUUUGAGCGGGGGACAACAUUUGGAAACGAAUGCUAAUACCGCAUAAAAACUUUAAACACAAGUUUUAAGUUUGAAAGAUGCAAUUGCAUCACUCAAAGAUGAUCCCGCGUUGUAUUAGCUAGUUGGUGAGGUAAAGGCUCACCAAGGCGAUGAUACAUAGCCGACCUGAGAGGGUGAUCGGCCACAUUGGGACUGAGACACGGCCCAAACUCCUACGGGAGGCAGCAGUAGGGAAUCUUCGGCAAUGGACGAAAGUCUGACCGAGCAACGCCCGCGUGGAGUGAAGAAGGUUUUCGGAUCGUAAAACUYUKKUKGUAGAGAAGAACGUUGGUGAGAGUGGAAAGCUCAUCAAGUGACGGUAACUACCCAGAAAGGGACGGCUAACUACGUGCCAGCAGCCGCGGUAAUACGUAGGUCCCGAGCGUUGUCCGGAUUUAUUGGGCGUAAAGCGAGCGCAGGUGGUUUAUUAAGUCUGGUGUAAAAGGCAGUGGCUCAACCAUUGUAUGCAUUGGAAACUGGUAGACUUGAGUGCAGGAGAGGAGAGUGGAAUUCCAUGUGUAGCGGUGAAAUGCGUAGAUAUAUGGAGGAACACCGGUGGCGAAAGCGGCUCUCUGGCCUGUAACUGACACUGAGGCUCGAAAGCGUGGGGAGCAAACAGGAUUAGAUACCCUGGUAGUCCACGCCGUAAACGAUGAGUGCUAGAUGUAGGGAGCUAUAAGUUCUCUGUAUCGCAGCUAACGCAAUAAGCACUCCGCCUGGGGAGUACGACCGCAAGGUUGAAACUCAAAGGAAUUGACGGGGGCCCGCACAAGCGGUGGAGCAUGUGGUUUAAUUCGAAGCAACGCGAAGAACCUUACCAGGUCUUGACAUACUCGUGCUAUUCCUAGAGAUAGGAAGUUCCUUCGGGACACGGGAUACAGKUGGUGCAUGRUUGUCGUCAGCUCGUGUCGUGAGAUGUUGGGGUUAAGUCCCGCAACGAGCGCAACCCCUAUUGUUAGUUGCCAUCAUUAAGUUGGGCACUCUAACGAGACUGCCGGUGAUAAACCGGAGGAAGGUGGGGAUGACGUCAAAUCAUCAUGCCCCUUAUGACCUGGGCUACACACGUGCUACAAUGGAUGGUACAACGAGUCGCGAGACAGUGAUGUUUAGCUAAUCUCUUAAAACCAUUCUCAGUUCGGAUUGUAGGCUGCAACUCGCCUACAUGAAGUCGGAAUCGCUAGUAAUCGCGGAUCAGCACGCCGCGGUGAAUACGUUCCCGGGCCUUGUACACACCGCCCGUCACACCACGGGAGUUGGGAGUACCCGAAGUAGGUUGCCUAACCGCAAGGAGGGCGCUCCUAAGUAGACCCGAUUUUGGCG